RNAcentral lists this ribosomal RNA (396 nucleotides) under uncultured bacterium. RNAcentral's name for it is "partial 16S ribosomal RNA". It matches the Rfam family "Bacterial small subunit ribosomal RNA", at positions 523 to 918 of the family's 1533-position model. The record is from RNAcentral.
AUACGAAGGGUGCAAGCGUUAAUCGGAAUUACUGGGCGUAAAGCGCGCGUAGGUGGUUCGUUAAGUUGGAUGUGAAAGCCCCGGGCUCAACCUGGGAACUGCAUCCAAAACUGGCGAGCUAGAGUAUAGCAGAGGGUGGUGGAAUUUCCUGUGUAGCGGUGACAUGCUUAGAUCUAGGAAGGAACACCAGUGGCGAAAGCGACCUGCUGGGCAUAUACUGAACCUGAGGUUCGAAAGCAUGGGGAGCAAACAGGUUUAGAGACCCUGGUAGUCCACUCCGUAAACGAUGUCGACUAGCCGUUGGGAUCCUUGAGAUCUUAGUGGCGCAGCUAACGCAUUAAGUCGACCGCCUGGGGAGUACGGCCGCAAGGUUAAAACUCAAAUGAAUUGACGGGG